RNAcentral lists this ribosomal RNA (487 nucleotides) under Hebomoia glaucippe. RNAcentral describes it as "partial 28S ribosomal RNA". The record is from RNAcentral. Lineage: Eukaryota; Metazoa; Arthropoda; Insecta; Lepidoptera; Pieridae.
AAACCUGCGAAACUCGAAUGAACGAACGGAGAGAUUCAUCGUCAUUCCGCGGCGUACUAGUUCGCGCCUCGAUGCGCGCCCGCCGCGUCCCCGCAGGGGGGCGCGCGCGGGUCGAGCACGGGUCGGACGUGUCGACGUUCGCGGACGGCGUGCACUUCUCUCUCAGUAAACGCUGACAUCGCGACCCGUUCGCUUCGCGUCGAUCUAAGCCCGAUCCGGGAGACGAACGGCGGCGUCUAAACAGCGCUCGCCGUUCGACCGCGAUCGUCGGCCGAUCGGCGUCGGACGGUACACACGUAUAAGGAAAUCGCGCACGCGACUGCUCGCCAGUACGCGUCAGGCCCGACGCGAGCGUUAAGCGUCGCCGCCCGCGCCUCCUGCCUAUGCGCGGACGCGGGCGCGUCGCCGCUGUUGUCGCGGCCGCCGUGCCGUCACUGACCGUGCGCGUGUCCGUCGGCGAUGUUUCAGUUUCGGGCACUCGCAGGAC